AGCCCCCUUCAAGAUGAGAUUUCCCAUUACGCAAGUAAGUAAGAUCCCUCAAAGAUGAUGAGGUGGAUAGGUCUGGGGUGGAAGCACGGCGACGUGUGCAGCUGACAGAUACUAAUCGAUCGAGGACUUAACCUAU
This 136-nucleotide ribosomal RNA is filed under the name Sporosarcina newyorkensis. RNAcentral's name for it is "partial 23S rRNA. Bacterial LSU". It matches the Rfam family "Bacterial large subunit ribosomal RNA", at positions 2791 to 2925 of the family's 2925-position model. The record is from RNAcentral. Lineage: Bacteria; Bacillati; Bacillota; Bacilli; Caryophanales; Caryophanaceae.